This 441-nucleotide ribosomal RNA is filed under the name uncultured bacterium. Its description in RNAcentral is "partial 16S ribosomal RNA". It matches the Rfam family "Bacterial small subunit ribosomal RNA", at positions 338 to 795 of the family's 1533-position model. The record is from RNAcentral.
CCUACGGGUGGCAGCAGUGAGGAAUAUUGCGCAAUGGGCGAAAGCCUGACGCAGCAACGCCGCGUGAACGAUUAAGCCCUUCGGGGUGUAAAGUUCUGUCAGUAGGGACGAAACUUGACGGUACCUACAGAGGCAGCACCGGCUAACUCCGUGCCAGCAGCCGCGGUAAUACGGAGGGUGCAAGCGUUGUCCGGAAUCAUUGGGCGUAAAGAGUUCGUAGGUGGCAUAUUAAGUCUGGUGUUAAAUGCAGAAGCUCAACUUCUGUUCGGCACUGGAUACUGGUAAGCUUGAAUGCGGUAGAGGUAAAGGGAAUGCCUGGUGUAGCGGUGAAAUGCGUAGAUAUCAGGAGGAACAUCGGUGGCGUAAGCGCUUUACUUGGCCGUAAUUGACACUGAGGAACGAAAGCCGGGGUAGCAAAUGGGAUUAGAUAACCCUGUAGUC